GCCUGCCUAGCUCAAUCGGAUAGAGCGUCAGACUCUUAUAUAGGCACGUCAUCUGAAGGCUGCGAGUUCGACCCUCGCGGUGGGCU
Molecule: transfer RNA, 86 nt
Organism: Hypholoma sublateritium FD-334 SS-4
Lineage: Eukaryota; Fungi; Basidiomycota; Agaricomycetes; Agaricales; Strophariaceae
Rfam family: tRNA
About the family: Transfer RNA (tRNA) molecules are approximately 80 nucleotides in length. Their secondary structure includes four short double-helical elements and three loops (D, anti-codon, and T loops).
Source: Rfam